This 492-nucleotide ribosomal RNA is filed under the name uncultured bacterium. RNAcentral describes it as "partial 16S ribosomal RNA". It matches the Rfam family "Bacterial small subunit ribosomal RNA", at positions 29 to 507 of the family's 1533-position model. The record is from RNAcentral.
AGUGAACGCUGGCGGUAGGCCUAACACAUGCAAGUCGAACGGCAGCACCGUACUAGCUUGCUCUUCCGGGUGGCGAGUGGCGGACGUGUGAGGAAUACAUCGUACUCUACUUUUUCGUGGGGGAUAACGUAGGUAAACUUACUCUAAUACCGCAUACGCCCUACGGUUGAAAGCAUUGGAUCUUCUGACCUUGCGCGAUUGAAUGCGCCGAUGUCGGAUUAGCUAGUUGGCGGGGUAAAGGCCCACCAAGGCGACGAUCCGUAGCUGGUCUGAGAGGAUGAUCAGCCACACGGGAAGUGAGACACGGACCAGAGUCCUACGGGAGGGAGCAGUGGGGAAUAUUGGACAAUGGGCGCAAGCAUGAUCCAGCCAGAGCGCGUGGGUGAAGAAGGCCUUCGGGUUGUAAAGCCCUUUUGUUGGGAAAGAAAAGCAGCAGGUUAAUACCAAGCUGUUCUGACGGUACCCAAAGAAUAAGCACCGGCUAACUUCGUG